Molecule: ribosomal RNA, 286 nt
Filed under: Hyphomonas sp.
Lineage: Bacteria; Pseudomonadati; Pseudomonadota; Alphaproteobacteria; Hyphomonadales; Hyphomonadaceae
Description: partial 16S ribosomal RNA
Rfam family: Bacterial small subunit ribosomal RNA
Source: RNAcentral
AACCUGAGAGUUUGAUCCUGGCUCAGAACGAACGCUGGCGGCAUGCCUAACACAUGCAAGUCGAACGCCCGUAGCAAUACGGGAGUGGCAGACGGGUGCAUAACACGUGGGAACCUACCCUUGGGUUCGGAAUAACCGCGGGAAACUGCGGCUAAUACCGGAUACGUCCUCUGGGAGAAAGAUUCAUCGCCCUUGGAGGGGCCCGCGUCGGAUUAGCUAGUUGGUGAGGUAACGGCUCACCAAGGCGACGAUCCGUAGCUGAUCUGAGAGGAUGAUCAGCCACACU